UAAGAAAGUAAAACUUGUCCAGUGCAUUUCGUAGGGCUCAAAACAGACCACGAAGUCCCCCUCCUCUUCUAUUGUACUUCAGAACCCAAGGCACGGAGUCCUCUGCAGAACAAAAGAAAAUCAGGCAGAGAGAAAGCCAGCCAGGAGGACUGGGAAAGAUUCCGGUGAUCAACUGAAACCAAAAAUUAAUCCUGAAGGACUUACAUGCAUAAACUCACUCCAAAAUCCAAAAUACUCUGCACAAGUCCGCUGGAGUCACUUUUCCUGCUUUGUCAUCAUCCUCACUCCAAUACUCAAGGCCAACAUCACCUCUUAAAGGUACAAUUGCCAUUGUCUUCAAGCUGUUCUUUCUGCUUCCAAUUCUGUUCCCGCUGUACUAUUGUAUUGUAAGAAGACAGAUAUGAGAAUUGCUAAGCUUAAUAAAUCUACUUAUGUUUGAAUUUGCA
Molecule: long non-coding RNA, 446 nt
Filed under: Oryctolagus cuniculus (rabbit)
Lineage: Eukaryota; Metazoa; Chordata; Mammalia; Lagomorpha; Leporidae
Description: lncRNA (ENSOCUG00000030434.1)
Source: RNAcentral